This 1741-nucleotide ribosomal RNA is filed under the name metagenome. RNAcentral describes it as "bacterial LSU rRNA". It matches the Rfam family "Archaeal large subunit ribosomal RNA", at positions 1183 to 2911 of the family's 2987-position model. The record is from RNAcentral.
CAGGUAGGCUCAGAAGCAGCCAUCCUUUAAAGAGUGCGUAACAGCUCACCUGCCGAGCUUGGAAGCCCCGAAAAUGCACGGGGCUCAAGUAGAUUACCGAUACUUUAGAUUACCAGCAAUGCUGGUAUAUGGUAGGUGGGCGUAGUGAUUGGGUCGAAGCUGGGCUGUGAAGUCCAGUGGACUGAUCGUACUAGUGCAGAUCCUGGUGGUAGUAACAGCAUAACCGAGUGAGAAUCUCGGUGACCGCAAGGGCAAGGGUUUCCCGGCAAUGCGUCAUCAGCCGGGAGUUAGCCGGUCCUAAGAACAACCUCAACAGCGUUGUCCGAAAGGGAAACUGGUUAAUAUUCCAGUGCCAUGAAAGAUCGUUUGUACCUUGCUUGUCGCUUCAGGAUAGGGUAAGCAGAACCGUCGUUCUGUCUAAUUAUUCGAAUCAGGGGGAGUACUGUAAUAGUGAGAACCUUGAUGAGAUGAGAAUGGCCUUCCGCAAGGAGGGUUUACUUGAUUCCAGGAGACACUGAAAGCGAGUAAAGGGAGAUUCUUUUAUGUCCGUACCGAGAACCGACACUGGUGCCCUGGAUUAGUAAUCUAAGGUCUGUCGGGUAUACCGUAAGGCGAGGGAACUCGGCAAAAUAGCUCCGUAUCUAUGUAUAAGGAGUGCCUGCAGUUUUUAUGAGGAAUAGGAAUUGCAGGUCGCAGUGACUAGGGGGUCCCGACUGUUUAAUAAAAACACAGUUGGUCGCAAGUCCGAAGGGAUGUGUACGGCCUAUGUAUCCUGGCCAGUGACGGUACCUAAAACCUGGGUUCAACUGGGCUAAGGGCCGUUUAACGCCGGGAGUAACUCUGACUCUCUUAAGGUAGCCAAAUGCCUUGUCGGGUAAGUUCCGACGUGCAUGAAUGGAACAACGAGGGCCCCGCUGUCCCCGCCUACAACCCGGUGAAGCCACAUAACGUGGACGAACAGUCCACAAACCUCUGUCGGGGAGAGAAGACCCUGUGGAGCUUUACUGCAGCCUGUCGUUGCGAUAUGAUGUCCAAUGCAGAGAGUAGUUGGGAGCCUUCGAAGCCAGUUCUCUGGGAUUGGUCGAGGCAAAAGUGUAACACCAGCCAUUGGUUAUCGUAUUGCUAACCCGUUCUCACGGGGACACCGGCAGGUGGGCAGUUUGGCUGGGGCGGCACCCCCUUGAAAAAAUAUCGAGGGGGCCCAAAGAUUGGCUCAGGCGGGACAGAACUCCGCCGGUGAGGGCAAAGCCACAAGCCAGUCUGACUGGAUCCCCAAUGAUACGGGAUUCAGAGGCGAAAGCCGGGCUUAGCGAUCCAUCAUGUCCUCACUAUUGGAGGCUGAUGGUGACAGAAAAGUUACCCUAGGGAUAACAGGCUCGUCGCGGGCGAGAGCUCCUAUCGACCCCGCGGUUUGGUACCUCGAUGUCGGCUCUUCCCAUCCUGGUUCUGCAGCAGGAGCCAAGGGUGGGGCUGCUCGCCCAUUAAAGGGGAACGUGAGCUGGGUUUAGACCGUCGUGAGACAGGUCGGUCUCUGCCUGACAGGGGCGUGGUUGUCUGAGGGGAAGUUGUCCCUAGUACGAGAGGAACAGGGCAACGCAGCCUCUGGUUUAUCAGCUGUCCGACAGGGCACGCUGAGCGGCUAAGCUGUUUUGGAGCUCCUGAAAGCAUCUAAGGAGGAAGCCAUUCUCGAGAAAAGACAGCCAUCCGUAAGGAGAAGGGUAGCUAUAGAAGAUAGCAUUGA